GUUUCAUUUUGAUGAUUAAAAAAAAUAAUAAUAAUAAAAAAAGUAUUUUGCUUCGUAGUUACACUAUUGAUUUUGAAUGGUUACAAAACUAUUUCCCUAGCGUAUAUUUGCCUUUCUUUUGUCGCAUUCACGUCUUUCUUUAAAGUAAAGUUAUUUUCGGUAAAACGUGUGAUCGAUUCAUAUUAUUAAUUUAACAUAUUUGCUCAAAGCUAGGAGUGAUAUCGUUAAUGUUGAAUAUCUUUACAGAAACCUAGUCGUCUUUUGGGAUGACGAACAAACUUUAAAUGCUAAAGGAAAAAAAACAGAAAAUAUAUAUAUAUAUACUGCCAGUCGUGGGAUAAGAAUCGCACAAAGAUUUUUAUCAAGUAAAGAAAUUAUUCAAGCCGUACGAAUUUCUAAAACUAAGCUAUUUGUACAGUUAGCCUAUUAAUUUCUGGUUGUUUAGAAGAUCGUUCGAUUUUUACCACACGACUAAAUGAAACCUUCUUGUGCAGGUGUUGUAACCGCUAUAACAAUAAAUAAUUUAUAUUGUUGGAAUCAUCCGAUCUUUUCUGACUGUGUCAACAAGACGUCUCCCAGAUCUAAUUAAAAAACAGGCAAACAUCAUUCCCGUUCAUGAUUCCCAGGAGUGAAAAGAAAGGAAUAAUGAUUAAAAAAAAAAAGAAGACGACUGCUUUUCUGCCUUGUCAGUCAUGGUGCUAUCCUGGUUAUAACCACGCCCAAGUUCACAUCAAUAACGACAGCAUUGAUCAGUCGCACUCAUUACCUGUCACAUUCAUUGAUGUAACCGCAAAUCUGCUUUGCAGAGCGUGCAAGUUGCAGGCAGAGCCAUCUGUUGACAUGUGGACCCGCUAGUCACCUGUGGUUGUGUUGACACGGACGGAUUCCACAUAAUUGAUUGGAUCAGGACGCCUCCGCCACUCAAUUCCCUGGGGUUGUCGCUCGCUAAUGUGCUGAUAGAGACAUGCGGUGUUUGACAUUAUUGAAUGUACUAAAGGACACAAUAGGUUCUGAGCUGCUUUAAUGAAACCCGGCCAUUCUGGCCACUGCUUCCGGUCCGAAUCGCAUCUCGCCGCCCCCAAGAAUCGCGUGUAAAUCCCAUCUGGAUUAUCUAGUAACGAUUUCGUACUUGGAUUUAUCUCACCGGAUGCCAGUUAAUCUCGAAUGGUCACUUUUUCCUGACGUUCUUGUCAUUAACUUUAUCACGUAAAUGAUGAUCCGAAGUGAAUUCGUUGGAAGAAGGAUCACAUUCCUCUUACUGCUGUAUAAGUAUCUUUUGUGCACUGCAUGGGUUUCUCAUUUGUCACCAUCGCCUAUACAUCAGAAAAAGAUGUUCUUUCCUAAUCUACCGUUUCUUAAAGUUUCAACUGCCUGAUGUCGGAUUUGAUAGAAAAUAUUUCUAGAAGAGGAAAUCUAGAGACAUUUCCUGUAUUUAUUUCAUAGUGCCAGAUUUACAACCAACAAUUCUUUUUUCCGACAUUUCGAAAAAAAAUUAUAGGAUUAUAUUGUUAUAAUAUGUAAGAGAGAGGUAGAAAAAAUUGUUGGCAGAAAGAAAUUAUUUAAAAAAAUC
This 1570-nucleotide long non-coding RNA is filed under the name Androctonus crassicauda. Lineage: Eukaryota; Metazoa; Arthropoda; Arachnida; Scorpiones; Buthidae. The record is from RNAcentral.